RNAcentral lists this non-coding RNA (29 nucleotides) under Homo sapiens (human). The record is from RNAcentral. Lineage: Eukaryota; Metazoa; Chordata; Mammalia; Primates; Hominidae.
UAGAGCUGAGAGUGUGCCAAACAUUUGCU